ACAUUGUCACUGAAGAAACAGCUGAUGUCGGCUUACAAUCUGGAGUCCAUCAAGGCUGUUGCAUGGGGUAUCACUCAUGAAGAUGAUGCUUUGAGAAAGUAUGAAAAGGAAUUUGAUGCAGCUGUAGAGCAGUCAGGAUAUGGUUGCAUGAAUCCGGAGUGUUGGGAGCUUCACCUGAUGGGUUAGUUGUUCGACCACCAACAUGCAGUGUAUUUUAUCAAACCCCAGAAGCCAAAGACGCCAUUCCUGAUAUUGUAGAGGUGAAGUGUCCAUAUACAGCAUUGUCUUCAACAGUAGCAGAUGGGGCACAAAAUUUGAAGGAUUUUUCAUAGAUCUUAAACAAGAUACCCUGUGCCUGAAAACCAGUCACCCAUACUAUCAUCAAAUUCAAGGCCAGCUACACAUAUGUAACAAAACAUUCUGCGACUUAAUUGUGUGGACAAGAGUAGACUGCAUUGUGAUUAGAAUAGUAAAAGACAUUGAAUGGACAGCAAAUGUUCCAAAGCUGAUAGAUUUCUACAUUAACAUUUUCAUUCCAGCACUGAUGGAAAACUGAGUUCUGGUUUGAACUUCUUGACACUUAGUUUUGUACCUCUAGAAUUUUCUAACAAUGGAAAAUGGGUAAUCAUGUUAAAUGUGUUGAAUGUUCCUAAGUCUCAUAAAUGUAUGAUAUGAUAUGUCACAAUCCAUCAUAAAACUUCUGGCUUAUAAGACUAUUUUAAAUAGCAAUGAUGAUUAAUAAAAUCUAUGUACUACAUAAAAAAAGAAU
Molecule: long non-coding RNA, 769 nt
Organism: Saccostrea cuccullata (small rock oyster)
Lineage: Eukaryota; Metazoa; Mollusca; Bivalvia; Ostreida; Ostreidae
Exons: 3
Source: RefSeq, a predicted model, not a curated record